CUGGUUUACUCCAGAGGCCCAUGGUGUGUAUUCUUUGGAGCCACCUUUCUAGGACUCUGUGCCUUUGUCCUCCUUCAUGUCAUGCUUCAUGAUAACCACAUUGGUGACAUUGCGUCUUCAGAACAGGUCCGUAGCUCUGCUUUCCCCGCCAGAGUGUCCAGCCUCACUCUGCUUGGGCUGCCUUAGGUCAGGUUCUCAUUCCUGUGCCAAUGAGUAGGACCCGGAGGAAGGGACCUGCUACCUGGCUGGAAUGCAGCUCAAACCUGCUACCUGCUACCUGUAUUGCUGGAAUACAAUACAUGCUUGGAGCCGGGUAGGUGGCCAAUCCCACCUAAACCCUAUGGAAGCCUGUGCAGUUUGCCAGAUAAGUUCUGCUUUCUGUUGCCCUUAUGGAGCUUACAGCUUAAUCAGGGAGGCAGACAAACAAAUAAGCAAAUGGAUACAAGAUAUGAAGUAAAGAACAGAGCUGUGAGACUGUCAGGGGGACACAGUCCAGACAGAGAAGUGGGAAGUGACAUUUGAGUUGAGAUCCGAAUGGUCGAGCAGGAGUUAAUCAAGAAAAGAGGUUAGGGAAAGACAAAAGGCAAGUGAGCAUUUGGGGGGACAUUUAUCCCUUUACUUUCUCUUAGGAGAGUUGGUGUGUGAUGCUCAAAAUAUUGAACAACUAGUAUGGUACCCUAGAGAGGGCAAAAUUACAAGUGGCCAAAGGAGGAUGACUACAGGAAAGCACCAGCUCACCGUAGGUGGCCACAGAUGAGUGGCCCACUGCUGGGAUCUGAGGCCCACAGGGCUAGGGCUGGGGCAAAGACUGUUAACCAACUAGGAUGGAAGUAGUAGAUAAGUAUAUAAAUAACUGGUAUGGCUUGUACCUGCUGGUGCUGGAUUUCAAGCCUGAGUGUACCCCAUUCUUCUGGGCCUUCUUUCCACUAUUUACUGACCACCAAACCUUCCCUAUGUGAUAUUCAAUAAACGUUGACUAAACAUAUAGAUGACUAUAUUGAUAGCAUGGGAAAAUUAUCAACAUUCAUGCCUGAUUGAUAAUUGAUAGAAGAUUUCGCCGCAGAGCAAAUUAGCAAAUGCUUCCCUAGAUUCCGCAGAGCAUCUCAGACGUUGAUUUUCAACUAGAGGCUCCUGGGAUUUGAAUCAGCAUCUGCCUGAGGUUUGCAAGUUGAGGGGAAUCUCAGCCUGGAGACACAUGUUGAUUCCACAGUGGAGUGUUGGAAGCCCGCACAGAGUAAUAAACUUACAGUUGUGUUUUGUUUGAACCACUUAAUACUUAUUAACUUAAUGGGCACGUUAAAAAAAAUCAUGAGAUGAAGCACUAACAUCUUGAUUCCUGUCUUUCCUUGAAGGGGGAGAAAAUUUGGGCGUGCAUAUCAGCAUGGAGGUUUGUCUGCAGCCAGUAGAGGCUGCCUCUUUAGAUGGUAUGCUCUAAUUUGCCUUUCUUCCACCUUUCUCACUUUUUUCAUAUUUGUUACAUACUUGCCCUUGGGUACCGGGUCUGAAAAUAGCAAGAUUUAAGCUUUCUAUUAGGAAACCAUCGCAAGGUAAAAAGAGUACGAUGAUCCUUGGCAUCACCCUUCUGGCCUUUUCCACUGUUUUAACCUCAGCAGCAGGAGCAUAAACUUUCCAGCUGUGUGAAGGACUCAGAACUGAGUCAGAGCAGUCCCCAAACCAACUGAAGUUAGUCUGUUAGCUUUGUGCAGGCUGAAAGCUUUAAAUAAUCAUUUCCAGUUGUACCUUCUUGUCAUUUCCCUUUAGUGUACAGUUCCCACCUCCAAAUUCUUCUCUUACACCCUGAGAGCCUGGCCCAGACCUAACCUAGGAGGCUCCACUUGGGUGAGUAAUUGUCAUUAGCCUCCUUUUAGUCUCUUAAGCAUCUCUCCUGUUUAGGUCUGAAGUCUAGUUCUAUAUGAUUUCAAGUAAAAACUCCCAUCCGCAAGCCACUGAUCCAUUCAUCCAACCUUACCUAUUUAUUUAGCAAAAUGGGGAAUCAUAUUGACAAAAUCAUUAUCCUUAAGCAAUUUGGAGCCUAGUAGGGAAAUUAAAAUGUCAACAUGCAAUUGUCAUACUCUGGGACAAGGGCCUAUCAGGUAGAGUUGCAGAUAAAAUACAGGGCACCCGGUUAAACUUGGCAUGGUUUAUUUGUUAAAUCUGAUAACCCUACCACCGGGGAAAGUGUUGGGUGCAAGGGAACACACGUGAGGAGGACCAGGGAAGUCUUCCUAGAAGCACUGCCUUUGAGGCCAACACGAGAGGGUUUAAGUCAGAAGAGGUGGAGGAUAGGGGAGAGCUCUGUGAAGACAGAGAAUAGCAUGUGUGAAGGCCCUGACUUGAGAGCCACCCCAGGAAAUUCAGGGGCCUGAGGUUCAGGAUGUGGGAAUGUGGAGGGUGGAGGAGUAUGUCAGGGGAGCGGAGACUGGAGACGCGAUGAAGUCCUGCCAUGGAAUGUGGACUGGAUCCUAAGCACAACAGGCCAGCCAUUGUAGGGCUUGAAGCCGCAGAGUGACGUAAGAUACGCAUUUGAGAAAAGUCCUUCUGGCUGGAGUGUAGUGACUGAUUAGAAGAGGAAGUCUGGAGACAGGAGAAGGCAGAGCGGUGCUUGCUGCAGUAACGAUAGUGGGUGAUGGCGGUGGCUGUGAGGAAGAGAGAGGAAUGGAUGAGCUACUUAGAGGAUGGAUGGGUAGAUGUGGGAGAUGAGGGAAGAGAAAGGUUGUGUAUGAAGAUGGUUCCACUCAGUGGGACAGGAGAGGUAGGGAGAAGUGGGUACUGCAGUGCCAUUUGCCUGUUUGCCUCAGACUGGCUCCCUGCCUUUCCACUGCUCUGCUCCGUGUCACAGGGCUGAUCCUGCAAACCCCAUCGCCCAGACUUCCUCGCCAACUCUUUUCCAGUUCCAGAAAUGAUGUCUGCUGAAGGAGAACAUGUUCUAGCAAUGAAAUCUUCAAAAGACUCCUGCCACUGCUCUGUGACUGGGACCCCCAGGUUGUCUUUGGAAGUUUCUAACGCCUCCUGAGUAGAGACUGGGACAUGGAAGGAGUCAAGAGGCAAAGGAAUCCCAGCAUCACCUGUAAUUUUCUGAAACUGGAGGGAAAGACAAAAGACAAGGCAAAAAUUCAGUGAUGAACAAAGACAACCAUUAAAAAGUAGAGUUCAAAACUUCAAUGUUACUCUGUGAUCUUAUUAUUAACACAGUCAAUUGAUUAUUCAGAAGACUUCAGAGGCAUUUUUUUUCUAAUUAUAUCUUGCCAAGUGAUUCUCAACUUAACCUAGCUAUAUCCAAGGCUAUGUCAGCUACAUUUUCAGACUUUGGUGAUUGGGGUAGUUAUUACCCAUUUCCUUUCCCUCACUAAGAAUGAAACCCUACUCUGUAAGAAAAAUUAAUUUCUUUUCUAUCCUCCAGGCACAUGUAAACAAUAUAUAGUUUGUGACCAGACUGUGUUCUCAAGCUGUCAGCUCCCAAGACCAGUCUGAGAUUGGCUGAGGUGGGCAAAGGGGGCUCCAAGUAAGGUGGAGGAAAAGCUGACAGGUUUCCCCUCCCAUUCCCAUGACCAGGUGGACUACUAACAGUAGAAUUCAUCUGGGGACGACCUAGUAAAUGAAAAUCUGACUGAUCUAUACCAGCCAUUGUGGCCAGCUGCCCAAGCCUGGACCAAAGGAGGAAAGGAGAAAAGACAAAGGUUAUUAUAAUCACAUAAGAGCAGUUUAGAUUUCCCCAGACC
Delphinapterus leucas (beluga whale) is the source of this 3719-nucleotide non-coding RNA. The record is from RefSeq and is a predicted model, not a curated record. Lineage: Eukaryota; Metazoa; Chordata; Mammalia; Artiodactyla; Monodontidae.